Molecule: ribosomal RNA, 395 nt
Filed under: uncultured bacterium
Lineage: Bacteria
Description: bacterial SSU rRNA
Rfam family: Bacterial small subunit ribosomal RNA
Source: RNAcentral
AUAUUGGACAAUGGGGGAAACCCUGAUCCAGCGACGCCGCGUGAGUGAAGAAGUAUUUCGGUAUGUAAAGCUCUACCAGCAGGGAAGAACAUGACGGUACCUGACUAAGAAGCCCCGGCUAACUACGUGCCAGCAGCCGCGGUAAUACGUAGGGGGCAAGCGUUAUCCGGAUUUACUGGGUGUAAAGGGAGCGUAGACGGUUAUGCAAGUCUGAAGUGAAAGCCCAAGGCUCAACCAUGGGACUGCUUUGGAAACUGUAAAACUGGAGUGCAGGAGAGGUAAGCGGAAUUCCUAGUGUAGCGGUGAAAUGCGUAGAUAUUAGGAGGAACACCAGUGGCGAAGGCGGCUUACUGGACUGUAACUGACGUUGAGGCUCGAAGGCGUGGGGAGCAAAC